Rattus norvegicus (Norway rat) is the source of this 10810-nucleotide non-coding RNA. NCBI's taxonomy places the organism in Eukaryota, Metazoa, Chordata, Mammalia, Rodentia, Muridae. The record is from RefSeq and is a predicted model, not a curated record.
GUGACUAUGUACCAUGUAGAAUCUGGGAUAAACUGAUGCUAAGGUAGUUUGUUCAGGGCUUUAUCCAUGGAAACUUGUGGAGUAGCUCGGGAGCUGCAGUAGAGAAAUGUGGAGUUUGGAGCCAGUCGGUCUUGGAUUAAAUCUGGCCCUUUCAGUUGUCUUAUGGAUGACAGAAACCUGUUCCCUCCAUAGAGGCCACAGCUAAAUAUCGCUGUGGGCCUUAAAAUUAUAUGAUCUGGCAGAGGACACUGAAGUCAAGAACCCUGAGGUAGGGAGGGACAGACUGGGUGGCCCACAUCCCCAAAAGAGGCCUUCAGAGGGUGUGGGAGCUCAGUGUAGAACGGCUAUGCUGAAAUAGGACUUACAGGCAGUACUUCUGGGAGCCAGGUACAGCAGCCUGUUAAACAUGGCCUCAGAAGUCAUAUGCAUAUACAACAUACAUACACAUACAUAUACAUAUACAUCAUAUACAUAAACAUCAUAUAUAUUAUACACACAUAUAUACAUACACAUACACAUACUACAUACACAUAAUAUACAAAAUAUACAUGCAUAUAUACAUAUGCAUAUACACAAACAUAUACAUCAUAUACAUUACACACAUAUACAUAUAUGUACACAUACACAUACCACAUACACAUACAUAUACAAAAUAUACAUACAUAUAUAUACAUAUAAACAUGUAUAUACAUCAUAUACAGUAUACAUAUGCAUAUACACAUAUAUCAUAUGCAUAUACAUAUACACAUACACAUACAUCAUAUGCAUAUGCAUAUACAUAUAUAUACACAUGCAUAUACACAUAUACAUACAUCAUAUACAUUAUACACAUACAGAUACAUCAUAUGCAUAUACAUAUACACAUAUACAUGCAUUAUAUGCAUAUCCAUAUGCAUGUACAUAUACAUAUACAUAUACUGGGAGAUGUUCGCUCCAGUAAAUGACACCCCAAGGGCAGAAGAAGAGAUCAGAGGGGGCUGGAAGUACACCUCUGUUGGCCCAGUGCUUGCCCAGCACCGAGGACCAGAAGUUCAAGGUCAUUCCUGGCUGCCUGUGAGUUACAGGUGAGCCUGGGCUACGUGAGGAAAGAGGGAGACAGAAAGAGGGAUGGAGAGAGGGAGAAGGAUGGAAGGAGGACAGGAAGGGGGAGAGAGAGAGAAAACUGAGAAAGAAGGAGAGGGAGACAGAGACAGAGAGGGAGAGAGGCCCAGAGGGAUAUAGAGAGAGACAGACACAGAGAGACAGAGAUGAAGAGAAACACAGAAAGGGAGAGAUAGAGAAAGACAAAGAUGGAGACAGACAGACAGAGACAGGGGGAGAGGAAGAGAGAGACGGGGGAGAGGUGGGGGAAGGAGAGAGAGAAAGAGAAAAAGAGGGAGAGAAAGGGGGAGAGAGGGAGGAAGAGACAGAGAGAGGCAGAGAAAGAGAGAGGAGAUGUAAGAGUAAAGGGAGAGACAGAGGGGAGGGAGGGAAAGAAGAGAAGGAGAGAGACAGAGGAAGGGGGACGGGGAGGGAGGGAUGACACGGCCAGUCUAAACCAGUGUGUGGCAAGCAGCUAGGGUUGCCCUUAAACCCUUUUGUCAGAAUUAACUGCCUUUAUCCCUCCUAGAGGAGAUGCCCCCAUGACCUGUACACUUCUCCAGCCCCACCCUCACCACACUAAAGACCAAGGGCUCACCCCAUGGGUAACUGGAACACCCCAUGCCCUCUCCACACCACAGCUGCGAAGAAUGGGCUUCUGGAACUCCUGGAGGAGCCCGGCCCCUUCUCCCUAGCUCACUCCAGAACUCUGCCACUGUCUGCUCGUGUGCGUGUGUGUGUGCGCGCGCGCGUGCGUGUGUGCGUGCAUGUGUGCAUGUGUAUGGAGGCCAGAGGUUGACUUUGGGUGUCUUCCUCAGUGGCUCUCCACCUUUCUUUUUGACACAUUAUUGCUCAGUGAACCGAAGACAUGAAUGGCUUAGGAAGGCAGCCCAGAGGGCCCCAUGAUCCACUUGUCUCCAUGCCAACCUCAGCACUUGGGUUCCGGGUGUGUGCCCUACCUCCGACUUUUUUUUGCGGGCGCUGGGGGUAAAACUCAGGCCCCCACAUUGCACAGCAAGCAUUUUACCCACGUGUGACAUCUUCACCCCCUAAGCUGUUGGUGGUUUGUUACCACAGCCACGGGGUUCACAGGACGUCCCCAAUGGAGGUGGCUUGGGCUGGGCGUUCCGGUGUUCCAUUCAUGAGGUGGGUGGUCUUGUCUUCCGGGGACUGUUGGAACAGAUACAUGACUGUCAUUAAACCCUCACUAGGUACGGAGGCCCCACCUCCUUCAUUGCUUGGCUUCCAAUAGAUACAUUAUUCCUGUGUCUCAUGGGAGCCAAGGCCCAGUUUGCCUCCCUGCCUUUCCUGGGGGCUAGCUCCCCCAUGCCCAAGGGACUCAGUCACCAGUGUCUGGACAGAGCCCCCAAUUCUGUCAUCACCCCAGAUAGACAAGGCAGCUCCCCCUGGUGCUCUAGAAGCCUAUUCUUGGCCGCUGUGACUUGGAGGUGAGUAGGAGUGCCUGCCAGUUGCUCAUGUGGUGACUUGGUCCCUAGUGUUGAAAAGAGGUAGAACCAGAGAGGGGUGUACGUCCUUGGAGGUUGAUUCCUACCCUCAGUUUCUCCACUGGGGCUCCAGAUGCAAUCUUAGUACCCUUCUGGGGUGCUGCUAUAGGACCAUAGGCAGGGGCACUGACAAAUGUCAGUGGGCAAACCUUUCCUUGGUGCAGUGAGCUUCCAUUUCGGCGAUGCACACCGUAGGAUAAACUCAGGGGCACACCACAUGUGGCCAGCAGCCCUGGGCUGCCCCUGGUUCCCUGCUGCAGAUCCACCUGCUGCUCCCUUCCACUGACAGUCCAGAGGAUCUAAAGGGUUUCAAACCUGCCCGGACGCAGGAACAGGAUAACGCUGGUCCCCACAUCAGACUAGCAUAGGAUCUGUGCACAGGAUCUAAUAAUCAGUGUUAGCUGUCGGGGAUGAGGGUGCUGCCUGCCUUGUGAGUGCUUGCUGCUUUUCCGGGAUCUAUGAUAGUUUCUGGGACACAGCGGAUGGUCAGCACACGUUUCUUGGUGAUUUGGGGUAUGAUUCAUGCUUAGGAACAUGGCAAAAUCUCUUUGUGUGUAUGCAAGAUUGCAAGAUUAUCCAAAUCGCCCCAUUCCCCCCUAAAUACACAUUAUACGAUUGAAGAAAGAGUUAAAACAAAGAGGUUGGUGAGAUCUGGAGCUGCUGACUUCAGGUGAUUUUAUUUCUGGCUCCUCAGUUAUUGGUCUUUCCUAACACUUAUUCAAUAAAUAGAUUGUGUUUGAAAUAAAUAAGAAAACGAUGCAGGGUUUAUUUGGGAGCCCGUGACAUUGUUAUGUGGGGCAGUGAUCGUAAGACCCUGCAAGUGCUUAUGGUGCCCGCUCUUCUACACCCAGCUCUCAGCAGCCUCACCACCACACAUGGCUUGGGUUCUGAGGGGGCCGCACACAGCCCCCCAAAUCUGGCUAUGGAUGACAUUCUGACAGCCACAGCCAAGCUGUAGGACCAAGGUGUCAACCUGGAAUGGUAGCCCACGAGCAAGUGAAACAGGCUCAGCUCUUUCAGUGACAGCCUCUCCCCCUCCAUCCCAUGCUGAUGGACUACCUCCCUGACCACAGUCUGCCAAAUACCCUCCAACGGCAGAAGUGGGAACAAAGGCCCCUGAAGUCUUUGAGGGUCCUCCAUGGCUCGUAGGACACAAAUGACUGUACCUGAGAAAGGUUCCGCUGUAUAUGGUAUUCACUGCGUAUAUGCUUAGAAGACAUCCUGGGGGUGGUCUUAAACCAGAUACACAGAGUUAGCUGCUUCUUAAGGCAAUUACAGUUAUAAGACAAGAAGAGGGCAUGGAGUUGCUGUGUGUGCUGGAGACAGAGGACGCUGGAUGUGCCCUGGUCCUAUACAGUGUAAAGGUAUUUCCGUCAUUCAUAGGUAAAGCCUACUAAGAUAUGGGGAAUCUCAACAGGGCUGCCUUCUUCCCUCUUUCUGUUUCUUCCACCUUGGCACUUGAUGUUCAGAGAAAGCUCUCAGACUGGUGUCUGAACAUGCCGCCAUACCCAGGCCCAUUUGAAGGACACACUGAAGACAAGGCCCCUGGAAGCCUCCUGCCUCACCUUGUCCACAUCUUAACCAUGUUUCUGGGUUGUAUCAAGAAGCCAGGCAUCUGUGGCCAGGACACCUACAUAUGUGUGUCUCUGGACUUUUAGCAGAUUCUGGAAUUCAAGGAACUUAUUCAGCUCCUGACUUAAAUCCAUGUUUGGGACAGUGCCCCCCUCUGCUCAGUGUUUUCUAGAAACCACUUAUUUCUGGGAGGUGGGUGACCACUUCCCACACAGGCCCCAGAUACCUAGAUCCUUUCCCUUGUAUUGAUGAUCAAUUGAUGAUUGAUUGAUAAUUGUCUGCUGGCCUCAGACUCCAAGUUGUCCUACUUCGGUGCCACCGUGCCUGGCUACCAAUGUGUUUUCUGUGUGCUGUAGGAGCAAUGCAUGCUGUGUCCCUGGUGGCUUCUUCAUGCCCUAUUACUACCUGAUACCGUAGAAAACCUUGGGUGACAGUCAAAGGCAACGGACUCUGUAACAUUCACCCAGGCCCCAGGUGAGGCUAGGAGGCCAUGCCAAUGUCUGUAGCCCCAGGAAACCCCUUAGCAGAGGGGAGUCUCCUGUCCCCUGGAGGAAGAAACCAUCUCUAUCAAUACUGGGGAAUGAACUGGGGAUGUCACCCACUGAGCUGGUGCUCCCCGGGUGAGGUAUCUCCGCAGCAGUCUCCUUUUGCUCCAUGGCAACACUGCACUGAGUGAUCCGAGGACCUCAUAGAAGAGUCAGGAUGGAGGCAGGUGGUGCUUCUCCCUUCUGGGACAAGAAAAGGUGCAAGGUGGGUGGCUUUCCUUCUGAAUUUCAGUACCUGUACCUCUCGAUUAGUCAUUUCUUGUGUGCUAGGCCCAGAACGCCCCAUCACCAGCGCCUGACAUAUUAGAGCUGAAAUGAAUCUUGUUCUCACGACAGAGGACAUGCUAUAUGUUCCCAAGACUCUGGUUGGGGUGGGAAGACAGGGAUACAGGAGCUCAGAGAGGCAGAGACCUUGUAGGGAAGUUUGUCACUGCACAUAAACACUGGUCAUUGGUACAGUGUCAGCUCACAUGGUCCAUGUCCUCAGAAUCCCCUCACCAGCCCCUGAAGCAGGAGGCAGAUCUACCCUCCCACAGGCUGCCAGAAGGAAGGAGUGAAUGGCUAGACUUACCCAUACACUGUCAGAGGUCUAGAUACAUCCUAGAGUUCUGGAGUAAGGAGGCAUCAGAGGCAGCCCCUUCCUCCUUCUCCAAUCUGCAGGAGAGCCCAACUGACUCCCUAAAGAGGAGCUCCAAUCAGCCUGUGCUUCUGACUCCAUUAGCAGAUGAGGUUACGGAAUGACCAGCUUAAAUGCUCUUGGUCACUCAGUGGCCCUGGUGCAGAACAGGGCUCUAUGUUUUGUCUCCAAGGGUGCCACAGCCUCCAGUCUUGCACAGCAGUGGCUGUGGUAUGUCUUUGUUACGUUGUGCAGCGUCAGAUGCAUAAUAACUACUCAGUCUCCUAGCUCCCUAUGCAUGAUGGGUAGGGAAAUGAAUGCAAAUGUCAUGAUACAAUACAAAGACACAUCCUUAGCUCUUGCUUGGCUGUCUUGGAGUUGGAGGGUGCAGGGCUUCUCAAAGAAUCUCUAGGGAGUCUGGGAACCUCAGAACCAAAGAUCAUUUCUAUAAAUUCAAAGAAAUGGUGGGUAGUUGACAAGAGCCUACAUAGGUACCUGAGUGUGUGCGUGUGUGUGUGUGUGUGUAUGUGUGUGCGUGUGUGUGUGUGCAUUUAUGUGUGUGUGUAUAUGUGUAUGUGUGUGCAUGUGUGUGUAUGUGCAUAUAUAUGUGUGUGUAUGUGUAUAUGUGUGUAUGUGUAUGUGUGUGCAUAUGUGUAUGUAGUGUGCAUGUGUGUGUAUAUAUGUGCAUGUGUAUGUGUAUGUGUGCAUGUGUCUGUAUCAUAUAUUUAAACUGAUAGCAUACCAUGUCCUUUUCUUAUUCCCCGAUGACCAGCCCCAUUAGAACAAAGACCUUCCCUUUGUCCCUUACCCCAGCUCACUGUGCAGGUGUGAUGGGUUCAUUCUCUGACCUCCCACAGCCAGAAGGACAGGCAGCCUGUGGCCCAACAGCUGGGAGUUGGGAGAUCCAGAGAAGCAGACAGUGCCAGCCCAAACCUCUGGCCCAAGGUGGGAGACCAGGAGGGGUUGGAUGCCUAUUUAUCUUUGCUUCUUUCAUGGACUGGAAGGUUCUGGCACGAGCUGGGAUGAGGCCAUUUACACAUAAGGAGAUAGAUGCCACUGUGCCUCAGGGAGAGAGGGGCCUGGGAACUCACCAGCCUCUGUAGUGGAUGCCCUACCAAGGAUACCUCAUAGGAUCCCGGGACAGCCAGACAAUUAAGACGGUUGAUUUCAUAACUCAACGGCUAGCUAUUUUUUGCUUAUAAUGAAUUGCAGUUCAAAACACCGAUAGAAAGUUGCAUAUUAAAAUCAUAGGCUGGUUCCUUUAAAGACACAGGGAGCACAACUCAGGGCAAAUGGAGCCACACAUGGGCCACAGGGAGGAAGGACGGCAGCUGGAGAAGCGUGUUCUCCCUUUGCGCAGGCUCAAUGCGUUGGUGGCCUUCAGGCCUCACCUGCCCCAGGAGGGGGCAUGUGUGCCUUCCUCAUCCAUCUUCUUACAUUUAGUAGAUCCCUGCUGUGUGUGCUGGGCCUGGCCCCUGGGACACAUCAAUGGACCAGAAAAGGCCUUGCCCUACGGAUCUCCUGAUGGAGCAGAGGAACGGGGUCAGGAGAUGACUAUGGACUGUGACACACGUCUCACAGACUCCAAGGUUGUGCUGGAGGAAAUCACAGAGAAGGGGCUGGAGGAGGGAGGUGGGCAGUGUGGAUAACACAGGCCUCCCAAGAAGGUGAGUUCACGCUGGGCCCUGGGGAAGAAGGAAGAGUAGACAGACAGCCAGGACAUAACAAGGCCGCCCCUAGGAAGGGCCAAAGAGGAAUGUGAGAGAGGCAUGAGAAGUGAGGGAGCUCUGAGCUUUGUUCUGGGCACAGGGAGGUGGUUUUGUCUAAAUUAGGUUUUCAGCAAAAAUUGAUCCGAUCCUUAAAAAGGGCCAGAGUUGGGGACAGACGCUGCAGGCAGGUGAAGGUGACAGUGGCCUUGCUUGAGGCUGUUGAAACUGGGAGCGGAGCAGUGGUCAGCUUGAGAAGUUAAGCAAGGGGCACUGAGGCAGGGCUGGGAACACUUAUGAAAUGCCUGCUGUAUACCCAGCUGGGGGGCAAGUACCAGGGAAGAGUGGCCUCAUGAUACAGUUUAGACCUUCAAUUCUUUCAUGUUAGUACCUGAAAGGACAAAGGUUGGCUUCUGUGGAUGUAGAUUUUAGUGGGGAUGGGGUGGGAGCAGGAAACAGGGCAGGAGACCAGAUCACCCUCCUUUGUGGAAUAACAUGGAAGGAUGUGAUCAAGACUGUGUGCCUACUAUGUGCUUGCUGUAGCCAGUAGUCACACACUGACCUCCUGGUUACCCUGUUUCAGAUGGGGAAUGGUCAUCAGGACAGGAGAGGCUGGGGCAUAACAGGCUGGGAGCCAGCAGAAAGGGCAUUUGAAUGGAGUCUGUAAAACUCCGGGCUGGGACUGUGAUGGAGACCCUGCACCUCUAGCUAUCUUUGCAGAUGAGGAUUGUGCUGGUAACCAGGCCCACCUGGAGGACUUAGAGAAUAAAAGUGACUUGUGCAGGGUUACAUAGUGUUUCUGGGCCCUUCUGAUACUGUAGCAGAUAAUUGUAUCAUUGUAUCUUAGUCCAGAACUAGCUGGGAUGGCGUAAUUUGUCAGCUCCCAUUUACUCUGAGGAGUUUCCAAGUCCCCUCUCUGGGCUAUGGCAGGGGACCUGGUGAUCCUUGGAUCUAGUUCUGUUCUAUCUCCCAUUGCUGGGAGGGGCGGUUUUUUUUUUCCUUGUAUUAGUUUCUGGCUGGGAUCCUUAGGGGAAAAAACACCAACAAGCCACACAAGUGGAUUUAUUUAACUCACCUUAAGUGACAGCCUGCAGAAGGAAAUCCAAAAGACAGGGUACCUGCUCCUGCAUUCUAAGGCUCAGUGAUCUAAGAACCACCCAGAGGACUCAUGGCUGGUACCAGACCUGGAAUUAAUUCACUGGGGACUUGGCCUGUCUAGCAUGUUUUCUUGUGGCCUCAGGGCUGAAGGUCUGCUGCUGAGAGUGUGCUUGGUGCCCGCUCACCCAGGGAUAGCCUCUUUGCUUCAGAGGGUGAGGGAAAGAGGAAGGUAAGUAACCAUAGGGUCUCAUCUCUGUUAUUCUGGGGUCACACAUCCUGAACCCCAUCUCUAAGAGGUGGCAUUUGGCAGGGAAACUGCCUCUGACCUGCCACCCGAGACACAUUUGUUUGGGUCCCUAGAGUACCCCCAAGGGGUGACCUGGUGACCCAAAGCCAGACUUCCCUCAGACCUGCUUCAGCCAGGACCCUUCCUCUCCUCUGCCCUCAGUUCUUUCCCUCUGGCUCUACUAGGCUCCCCACUUUCUUCCAGGUAUGCUGUAUGUAAGCUGGUCAGGAACCUGCUGUAGUUGCAGAAAUAACCCAAUCUCUUCUUGGGAGUGGUGGGGAGACCAAAGGGGACAAUCCUAACCAGUAAGAUGAAUAUAAUGCAAAUCCAGACAGGAAAUGGCCAGUGUCUAGGGCAACAGAAUAGCUUAGCAAGCACACUUUACUCAUUCAGUCUCCUCUUCCAGUUAAAACAUGUUCAGAGACCAGAUAUCCCCUUGACUCCCCUGAGCCCAGCACCUCAUCUAAGGAAUGUGAAAAGAUCCCCUACACCUCUUGGAGGUGUAAAGAUAAGAUGGGGUGAAGGCUUGCGUGGUGGUACUCCCCCCAGGGUACGGGGUGUUCCUGGGGUGGUUGCAGCUGUGUGGCCUCAGACAAGUUGCUCACAGUCUCUGAGCCUUAGUUUUCUCAUUUGUAAAGUGAGAAGCCACUGGGGGAUCCUGGCCUGUCAUCGGGUGUAUCUCCUCAAUGUCCUGGAACAUGGCUGAAAUGGGAGGUGGGCCUUCACUCCAGCUAUUCUCAGCCUCCCAGAGUUCUCCGUGAGUGAUGCUUCCAGAUUCUCCCCCAGCGGCCUGCAGAGAUCCCUCCAGGUGCCCAGUCUGAAGCUAGUCUCCUUCUCGACCACCUCAAUGUCCCUUUGGCUUUGGGGUCCCUCUUUGGUUCUGCAUGGGGUAGCAGAGGCUGGCGGUAUAGCCUCAGCUGCUAGGAAAUCAAAUCUUGUAGAGAUGGAGUCCCAGUUUAGCAUAAACUCCCGCUCCAGCGGGAACCCAGUCUGCCCUGGCCCAACGCAGAUGGCGGCGCCCAUAGCCAAGGUACCUGGGCUCACUGCCACCCAGGAGGCAGAAUCAGUCUUUGCUCCGCUGAGGAUGCUGUGGCCAUGACACUGGCUGGGCCUCCUGCCUUCGGUUUCUGCCGCCACUUGCCCCCAACGACCGCCAUGGGCGCACAGUUAAUUAGCAGGUCCUGGAAAGCUCAUCAAUAAUAGAACCGGUGGCCGCGGCUGAUGGCUGGCACACGGUGGACAGUGAGGCCCCGGUGGCAGCGGCUGAUGGCCGGCACACGGUGGACAGCAAGGCCCCGUAAAUCAGUUUGACGGGCACUGACCAAGAAAGAGCUUCCCACAGUCCUCAGGCUGGGAAGCGCUGAGGCAGGCUGAUGGUGCCUGUUCCACCUCUGCCCCUCACUGCUCCAGCCACACCGGUCCUCCGAUAUCUCUUCCUCCUGCCAUCUGGCUCUUGUCUUUUUCCUUCAUCUCAGGUCCCAGAAAAGCAUAGCCCUUCCCCAGUCGCCACCCCACACUCUGGGAUCUUAUAGAAGGGGUUUGCUGGCCGGUUUUUGAAAUAAACUAGAGACAACUGAGAGAAGGGAAAUCUCAGUUGAAAAAAAAAUGCCUCCAUCAGAUUGGCUUGUGGAUGCACCUGUGGUAUAUUUUUCAUUAUUCUCUGAGUAUUUACUUACUGUUAUUAUUGUGUGUGGUAUGUAUAUGCUGCUGAACUUAUGUGCAGAGUUCAGAAUAUGGAGUUGGGUCCCCUCUUCCACUUUUAAGCGCUAGGCUAGGUUUGCCAAAGCGAUGCAAACCGAGACAUAACCUGGGUUCAGAGAAUCUCGAAUAAGGAGUUGCCCCCAUCAGAUUGGCCCAUGGGCAACUCUAUGGGGAGAUAAUAUUUGAUUGAUGACUGCAUCUGGAAGAUCUGCUCCACUGUGGGUGGGGCCACCCCUGGGCAGGUGGUCCUGGAUGAUAGACAAAGCAGGGUAAACAAGCCAGGGGGAGCAAGCCAGUGAGCAGCAUCCCUCCACGGCCCCUCAUCAGCUCCUGUCUCCAGGUUCCUGCCUUGGGUUCCUACUCUGGCUUUCCUUAGUGAUGGGCUGUGGCAUGGGAGUGUAAAAUGAAUUAAACCCAUCUGUCCCUAAAUUGCUCUUGGCUGUGGUGUUUAUCAUAACAGAAAGCAAAACAGGACCGAAGUCAUAUCUGUGGUCUUCAUGUGCCCUCCCAUGGCAAGAACACACACUCACACAACCAGUGCUGCCCAUGACAAUCUUCCUCCUCCUCCUCCUCCUCCUCUUCUUCUUCCUCUUCUUCUUCUUCCUUCUUCUUCUUCCUCUUCUUCUUCCUCUUCUUCUUCUUCCUCUUCUUCUUCUUCCUCUUCUUCAUCCUCCUCCCCCUCUUCUUCCUCCUCUUCCCCC